RNAcentral lists this ribosomal RNA (674 nucleotides) under Agaricus sp. 3870. RNAcentral describes it as "eukaryotic LSU rRNA". It matches the Rfam family "Eukaryotic large subunit ribosomal RNA", at positions 36 to 692 of the family's 3401-position model. Lineage: Eukaryota; Fungi; Basidiomycota; Agaricomycetes; Agaricales; Agaricaceae. The record is from RNAcentral.
UAGCAUAUCAAUAAGCGGAGGAAAGGAAACUAACAAGGAUUCCCCUAGUAACUGCGAGUGAAGCGGGAAAAGCUCAAAUUUAAAAUCUGGCGGUCUCUGGCCGUCCGAGUUGUAAUCUAGAGAAGUAAUGCCCGUGCUGGACCGUGUAUAAGUCUCCUGGGAUGGGGCGUCAUAGAGGGUGAGAAUCCCGUCUUUGACACGGACUACCAGUGCAUUGUGGUAUGCUCUCAAAGAGUCGAGUUGUUUGGGAAUGCAGCUCAAAAUGGGUGGUAAAUUCCAUCUAAAGCUAAAUAUUGGCGAGAGACCGAUAGCGAACAAGUACCGUGAGGGAAAGAUGAAAAGAACUUUGGAAAGAGAGUUAAACAGUACGUGAAAUUGCUGAAAGGGAAACGCUUGAAGUCAGUCGCGUUGGCCAGGGAUCAGCCUUGCAUUUGCAUGGUGUACUUUCUGGUUGACGGGUCAGCAUCAAUUUUGACCGCUGGAAAAGGUCCUGGGGAAUGUGGCAGCUCCGGCUGUGUUAUAGCCCCUGGUCGCAUACAGUGGUUGGGAUUGAGGAACUCAGCACGCCGCAAGGCCGGGUUUCGACCACGUCCGUGCUUAGGAUGCUGGCAUAAUGGCUUUUAGCGACCCCGUCCUUGAAACACGGACCAAGGAGUCUAACAUGCCUGCGAGUG